RNAcentral lists this ribosomal RNA (483 nucleotides) under uncultured bacterium. RNAcentral's name for it is "partial 16S ribosomal RNA". It matches the Rfam family "Bacterial small subunit ribosomal RNA", at positions 28 to 507 of the family's 1533-position model. The record is from RNAcentral.
GACGAACGCUGGCGGCGUGCUUAACACAUGCAAGUCGAACGCUGAAGCUCAGCUUUUGUUGGGUGGAUGAGUGGCGAACGGGUGAGUAACACGUGAGUAACCUGCCCCCUUCUUUGGGAUAACGCCCGGAAACGGGUGCUAAUACUGGAUAUUCACUGGUCUUCGCAUGGGGGUUGGUGGAAAGGGUUUUUCUGGUGGGGGAUGGGCUCGCGGCCUAUCAGCUUGUUGGUGGGGUGAUGGCCUACCAAUGCUUUGACGGGUAGCCGGCCUGAGAGGGUGCCCGGUCACAUUGGGACUGAGAUCGGGCCCGAAAUAAUACGGGGGGCAGCAGUGGGGAAUAUUGCACAAUGGGCGCAAGCCUGAUGCGGCGACGCAGCGUGAGGGAUGGAGGCCGUCGGGUUGUGAACCUCUUUCGCUCAUGGUCAAGCCGCAACAAUGGUUGUGGUGAGGGUAGUGGGUAAAGAAGCGCCGGCUAACUACGUG